GGCUGGCUCGAAGGUAGUGAGUUGUCCCGAUUGACUGUUCACGUCAGUCUCAGGUCAGACUCCCUGUUCUACUCUCCCUCUUCUCACCACUGCACUGACUAGUCUAAA
Molecule: Y RNA, 108 nt
Filed under: Microcebus murinus (gray mouse lemur)
Lineage: Eukaryota; Metazoa; Chordata; Mammalia; Primates; Cheirogaleidae
Description: Y RNA (ENSMICG00000020890.3)
Rfam family: Y RNA
About the family: Y RNAs are components of the Ro ribonucleoprotein particle (Ro RNP), in association with Ro60 and La proteins.
Source: RNAcentral